GACGGACGCUGGCGGCGUGCUUAACACAUGCAAGUCGAACGGAAAGGCCCUGCUUUUGUGGGGUGCUCGAGUGGCGAACGGGUGAGUAACACGUGAGUAACCUGCCCUUGACUUUGGGAUAACUUCAGGAAACUGGGGCUAAUACCGGAUAGGAGCUCCUGCUGCAUGGUGGGGGUUGGAAAGUUUCGGCGGUUGGGGAUGGACUCGCGGCUUAUCAGCUUGUUGGUGGGGUAGUGGCUUACCAAGGCUUUGACGGGUAGCCGGCCUGAGAGGGUGACCGGCCACAUUGGGACUGAGAUACGGCCCAGACUCCUACGGGAGGCAGCAGUGGGGAAUAUUGCACAAUGGGCGGAAGCCUGAUGCAGCAACGCCGCGUGCGGGAUGACGGCCUUCGGGUUGUGAACCGCUUUCGCCUGUGACGAAGCGUGAGUGACGGUAAUGGGUAAAGAAGCACCGGCUAACUACGUG
Molecule: ribosomal RNA, 468 nt
Filed under: uncultured bacterium
Lineage: Bacteria
Description: partial 16S ribosomal RNA
Rfam family: Bacterial small subunit ribosomal RNA
Source: RNAcentral